Megalobrama amblycephala (Wuchang bream) is the source of this 1899-nucleotide long non-coding RNA. RefSeq lists it as uncharacterized. The record is from RefSeq and is a predicted model, not a curated record. NCBI's taxonomy places the organism in Eukaryota, Metazoa, Chordata, Actinopteri, Cypriniformes, Xenocyprididae. The transcript has 2 exons.
GAGUAAUAAAUGACAUUAGUUACAUUUUUGGGUGAUCUAACCCUUUAAUGUUUUCUGAAGAAAUAGUCUCUACUUAACUCAAGAAAACUUGUGUACAUUUUGUUAACUAGCAGAAAAAAAGGCUGCAUAUAGUGCUAAUUUUACCCGAAAACUUGUUUCUGGAAUCUUCUUUCGUCAUGCACUCAAAUGUUUUCAGAGAAGCACUCCGCUAUGAAAUUCUCAGAUCUUUUCCAGGAACCCUCACAAGCACAAGCACCGUCUUCAUUUACGGAGUUAUCCUCGCGAGCACAGACAUCAUUUGCCAUGGCACAGAGUCACGCUGUGACAAAAACGUGCAACUCAAACCACAAACUCAUCUCCCCUUCAUCGACCGUCAAUUCUUACAUCCUCGAGCACAUCACAAAUCCCUCCACUUGAGAUUUCAGCUGCGGUCAAAUCUGCAUUACUCAUCUGAGGAGCAUAUUUACUUGGAGUUCGCAGUGAUUGAGGCCGUCAGCCCCAAAUUAACCUUCUCAUCUUAGAACGCAUCCUCCCCAUGGAGCCGCACUCUGACUGGAGGGGGGGGGUUCAUAUCGAUCAGUGGACUCUUGAGGGGUGGGUGCGUGUAUGUGUACAUAUGUGCAGGUUUCUGCAGAGCUCUGUGGAGGAGCUGGGCGGCAGGUGGUGCUUGGCUGACGGUGAGCCUGCUGGCUUCUCUGUUAGAGUUAUGCCAGCAGUGAGUAUAAGGCCCCUGCAGUCUGUCUGACGAGGCUUGUUAGACGCUGCUUAAAAUAGAGAGAAACAUCUCUACCUGCCACUCAGCUCCUGGCAGAAGGUUACCUGGCGCCCAAAGUGCAGCAAAAAUACAGAGCAAGGGAGGAUCUGGAUUGUUUAUCGGAGUUCUCCCUCAGCACGUUCUUAUUGGAGACAGCCUGCCGAGAUUUCCCCCAGGACGCGGGCCGCUACGCUACAGGGGAGUCGGGGAGGAGAGAGGGCACCGCACCAACCUUCACUUCAUCAUACAACAACACCUCUGACUGGAAAGCUCCCCUGCUAGUUACCUGCUCCUUUUAUUUUGUGCCAUUCCAGCUGAUUUACUCAGCCUUUUUCCUCUUCUAGCAAGCCGCCCGCUAGCAGGUAAUAUAGCACAGAUAUGGCAGAUUAUUCCAAGAUGCGAGAGAGAGAUUCAUCCCAAAACUUGGCUGUAAAAGACACCUUUGCAUUGUACUCAAAUGUGUAAAACAGAUAUGGCGAGAGCUAAUAUCAAUUAGCGUGCAGCAUCAAUUAGCAUGCAAUCUCACAGCACAUUAAGGAGGGUAAUGGCUUGACCCCAAAUUCUGCAGGCUCUAAAACACUUCAGCAAGUCCUUCUACAACUUGCGUGAAAGUCAUUCACGCGCUAUCAGAUCUUUCCAUAAAUGUGACGUAAAAGCAAUAAUUACAUCGGUCCGACUAAAGCGUGAGCAACGCGUUCUGAUAAUAAAAACGUACGGAAUGAUUUUUCACCGUUUUAUAAGAAUUUGAUGUUCAUUUUUUGGACUGUAGUAAAGUCAGAGAGGCACUCGAAACCACUCGAGAUAACUAUGAAUUAACAGUGUCAAUGGUGUGACUCAUUCCUUCUCCAGAUGUGAUAAAGGCGUGUAUGAGGGUGUGAAACAGGCGAAGACGCUGCGAACGCACCUCACUUUGAUUUUCCAAUAAUAUUGUCCAUAUUCAUAUUACCUGGUCUGUGGUCAAUAAGAUACUCCAUACUGCGUAUGAAGACCAAGGAUGGACUAUGGAGCUGGCCAAUGGACCAUCUGCCCUUAACGGAGAGGUUAGCAGAGGAUGGACACCUGGAAACAAGCCACUGCAUGUUUAAAAUUGAUAUAUAGCCAUACAGCCAGAGCCACAACGUGAAAUAAACAAAGAAAUGAUCUAA